Oreochromis niloticus (Nile tilapia) is the source of this 1470-nucleotide long non-coding RNA. RefSeq lists it as uncharacterized. The transcript is spliced from 3 exons. The record is from RefSeq and is a predicted model, not a curated record. Lineage: Eukaryota; Metazoa; Chordata; Actinopteri; Cichliformes; Cichlidae.
UAUUCUUCAAAAUGUCCUGAAGAAAGCUGCACAUGUUGUUUCAUGUUUCAUUUGACACAAAGUGACUAAAACAGAGUGGAGAAAAUCCAGAUUUCCAUACAUCCUGAAGAACACGUUAUUCAAAUCUCUUUUGGUGCAUGACUGCUAGAGAUCAUUUGAUUUUAAAAUGUUGGUUUUGUUAUGAAAACGUGUUUGCACAGGUAGUUUCAAGAUUUUUUUAAAACAAGAAAAAAAGCCCAAAAGAAAUAGCUGGAGUGCACAGAGAAAGAGGGCGGGGAUUCAUUUCCCGUAAAUGAAGAAGACGUCACAUCACUGAGAGGAACAAUGAAGGAAACAUCUCUGCAAUGUCUGCUCAGUAAGUAAAAACCUCUUAAGGUUACCUAAAGUUUAUUUUUACAGAUUUUUUGAUUGUUGAUUGAUGACAGAUGAAAGAAAAUGACAACAACAAAUGAAACAGUAUUUCAAGAAAGUUUAAAACACAGAGAAGACACAUUUCAGCUGUGAAGAGGAAGUUUGAGCAUCUUACACAAAAAUAGGAUGUGAAAAACUGAAUUUAGCAAUUUAGUGAUUUUAAAAACAGAACUGUACUGUGGACAUACAUUUACUAUUACUUGUGAUGUCUUUUUUGACAAUGCAUACAGAAAGUCUACAGCACGAAAACAAAGUAGAACGAUAUUUAAAAAAUGAAAAAUUGCUUGUUUGCCUGUUUGACAAUAAUACAAAAAUUCAUCCAUCCUCAGAUUAAGAUCAAGACUGCUUGUUUCUGUUGUCUUUGUUAUAAAAAUAAUUGAAGUUAAAGACUUUGUCUGAUCUUGAAAAUAAACAUGUUUUAUGUGGAGUUUUUUUUUUCUAUCAGUGUUUGUGUUUAUGUCUGUGGACGUGAUUCAUGUCUGACUGCAGUCAUCACAUUUGACAAAUCACAAGUUUAAAAUUUUGACAUAAAGCAUAAAUCAGACUUUAGAGGAACAUUUUAAUCAACACUGACACCACAGAAUCUCUUCUCUUUAUUGGACACAGCAGUACAGAAGAAAAUAUGACUGAUCACUUGAUUGACUGAUUGAUGAAGAAUUUAUGUGUUUGUGAAAAGUCAAACCAACCUUUCCUCUUUAGUUCUGAUCUCACUGCUGAGCUGCACAACACACCAAGCUCGUCUGACUGUGAGUCCCAGCAGCUCUCAGUUCUUUAAAGGAGACUUUGUGUCUCUGAGCUGUGAGGAGGACGACAGCUCUGCUGGAUGGACUCUGAGGAGAAACACAAGCAAACAACAAAUGACAGAGUGCGGAUCUGGGUGGGGAAUAUUGACUAAUUCUUCCUGUAACAUCAGCUACAGCACCACAUGGGACAGUGGAGUUUACUGGUGUGAGUCCAGAGAGGGUCCCAUGAGUAACAUGGUUAACCUGACAGUCACUGGUGGAUCAGUGAUCCUGCAGAGUCCUGUCCUCCCUGUGAUGGAGGGAGAUGACGUCACUC